RNAcentral lists this transfer RNA (71 nucleotides) under Sillago ingenuua (bay sillago). RNAcentral's name for it is "tRNA-Ser". It matches the Rfam family "tRNA". From Rfam's summary of the family: Transfer RNA (tRNA) molecules are approximately 80 nucleotides in length. Lineage: Eukaryota; Metazoa; Chordata; Actinopteri; Sillaginidae. The record is from RNAcentral.
AAAAAAGUGGCAGAGCGGUUAUGCGGUUGGCUUGAAACUAACCUAUGGGGGUUCGACUCCUCCCUUUUUCG